This 1020-nucleotide long non-coding RNA is filed under the name Homo sapiens (human). Its description in RNAcentral is "HSALNT0393007". The record is from RNAcentral. Lineage: Eukaryota; Metazoa; Chordata; Mammalia; Primates; Hominidae.
GCCUAGGCAUCUUGGGCAGGUGACUGAACACUGGAGCCAGUGUCCCUGGGAGAUAGGGAAGUCCCUCCCCAUGAAGGGACCUAGGUUCUUUGUAUCCUCUCCUGUAGUCCUGGGCCAAUAACUGACUGCUUUAUGGAAAACACACACACACAAAACAAACAAACAAACAAAGAAACCACCUUGCAUUCAUGCCCCAAGACUGAGCAGACCCUGUGGUACAGUUUAUUCCCCAGAGGCCCCAUGGGAUCAAGCUGAAGCCCAGCUGCAUCGGAGACCACAUCCUUUUUCAUUUUUCUUUCCUCCCUUCCCAAUAUGGCUCCCACCGACCCCUACAUGUUUCUUGUGAGUGCACUCCAUUGAUAAAUGUCUUGCACAAACAUCCCCUUCUCAGGUUCUGCUCCAGGGAACUGUACCCAAGACACUACCAGCAUCUGUCCCUCAAUGCCACACACCUGUCAUCCCACACAUCAAAAGGAAUCCCACGUAAUAGGAUACAAGCACAACUGCAAACACACUCACUGCCCCCGCCCCCUCCAACAAGGAGACAAAUGAAAAGUCCAUCACUCAUCCAGAGAAGACUUUUUAGAGCCACUGUUCUUGGAGCCUGUUACCUCUGGUCCAGCCUGGGUGACAAGUGAAACUCCAUCUCAGAAAAAAAAAAUUGAUAAAGGAGGAAGGCUGAACAAAUCACCAAGAUCAUGUCGCAGAAACUGUUUGGAAACAGGCAAGGUGGAGGACUUCAGUGGAAGAAGGAAGGAACCCAGGCCCACCGGCAGCCCGGAGAAACUGCAACUGUAGCAGCAUUCCUUCCCCCCAGGAAUGUGACAAAGAUGAGCACCAUUCCAACACCUGUUGCUGAGGCACUUUCCAGGGGUCUAGCUGUGGAGGCCCCUACUCUUCUCUAGAGCAGGCACUUCAAUCUUCAGGCCAAAACUAAAAUGUCUGCAUGACCACACUGCCAGGUUGCCCAAGAUUGGCUGACUUUGUAUGCAUCCUGAUUAAAAAUGGCAUCUUGCUCUC